GUUAAUAUAUAAAAAAAAAAAAAAUUGAAGACUCAUAGUGAUAUGAGUCAUGCCAUUUGGACUAAAAAAUGCCCCUCUGAAUUUCAAAGAAUCAUGAAUGACAUUUUCAAUCCAUAUUCUGCAUUUUGCAUAGUUACAUCGAUGAUGUUUUUACUUUUUCAUCCUCCAUUGAAUAACAUUUCAAGCAUUUGAGAACUUUUGUGUUUGUUGCCAAAAAGAAUGGUUUAGUUGUCUCUAAGUCCAAGAUAAACCUUUUCCAGACUAAGAUCAGAUUUUUAGGACACUAUAUCUCAAACGGCACUAUUUCACUAAUGGAGAGAUCCCUUGCUUUUGUGGACAAGUUUUCUUAUAAAAUUCUUGAGAAAACACAACUUCAAAAUUUUUUAGGAUGUUUAAACUAUGUUCUAGAUUUUUACCCGAAUCUUAAUA
RNAcentral lists this unclassified non-coding RNA (429 nucleotides) under Hevea brasiliensis (rubber tree). The record is from RNAcentral. Lineage: Eukaryota; Viridiplantae; Streptophyta; Magnoliopsida; Malpighiales; Euphorbiaceae.